Molecule: long non-coding RNA, 4711 nt
Filed under: Equus caballus (horse)
Lineage: Eukaryota; Metazoa; Chordata; Mammalia; Perissodactyla; Equidae
Description: lncRNA (ENSECAG00000057387.1)
Source: RNAcentral
CAUUACCUCUGGUCAGGUAUAGAUUCAGACCUAGUGCGCAGGCAAGCUAAACCACCUGGAGCCAUGCAGACACAAACCACAUAAAUGAUUUCUAUUUAGUUUGCUUUGAUUCAUGUACACUUGAGUCAGUUGACAACUACCAUCAAGCUAUGAUGAGCUUUGAUGUCGAGAAAGAUUUUUGUUUCAUUUGCGCUAUGGUUUUAUGAGUGUCAAAAUUUUUCUGUUUACUCUUAAAUAGACUGUUGCUAAUAUAAUUUAUCAGCUAUUUAUCCCAGAUGCAUUACAUUCAAUGAAAACAUUUUGAAAGUAUAAACUCUCAUGCACAACAUCCCUGAAACAACAACAUAAUUGAUCAAUUUGGUGAAAAUAAGUCAAACUUUUGAUCAAAUAAUUGUACUAAAAUUCUUCACUUUCUUACUAACAUUCUGGUAACAAAGGCAGCCAUGACUAAAUGUAUUCUAUGUAGCUCAUCAUUCACAGAAAACUGUGAGGAGUUGUGGAUUGUUUCACUUGUUCAUGAGAAAAUUGAUCCUAACAGUGUAUGAUUUUAUAAUUUGGUAAGCUAGAGGAAAAGAAAAAAAACAUUCUGAAUAUACUCACUCUCUCUGGUUAAUUUUUUGGUGUGUUCACCAUCUGCCAAGGCAGUUUGUAGAAGAAAAAUGAUUGAUGUAAAUUUUGGUUGGAGAUAUUACUGUGGGGAUACAGCUAACCAAAACUCCUUCUAAAUAUGAUCUACUAAGGACAUGACAAUUUGCAAUUUUGUGCAGGAUAUAAAAUCAGGUUAAGAAAGCCAGGAAUGUUGCUGAAUGACGAACAACAUAGUAAAGAAGGAUAAAAGAAACAGUCCCACCAACACUACCUGUUCAUCUGGUGGGUCAUCUCUAAUAUCUGGGUCACCAGUGCUAGUGUCUCCAGACCCAUAGGGUCUUCAAAGAUGACAAUGGAUGGUUAUUUGGAGUAUUUCAAAAGACGAAUAGAAUUGUACGUGAAAACUUUGUCAUAUCAUCAUGAAAUGACCAGCUUGGCUUUUGCUGCUACUCAGAAAUUAUGAAUCAAAGUUAUAUACUGAAAUAGAAACCAAAUUAAUAAUUAUGCAAAAGCACAAUCCCCAAGGGAAAAUUAAAUUAAAAAGAUUCAUGGAAUAGAUAAAGUUGGGAAACAGACAAAUAUGUUUUACCUUAGUUAAGUCCCCUGUAAUUCACAAUUUAAUAUUUUGAUUGAGUGCUCAAUUAUUAACUUCUGUAGUGUGUAGGCUUUAUAGACAUUAUCUCAUUGGAUUCUAGAUGAUUCUAUUGUCCCCAAUUUAUAAGUAGCAAACAGAAAUUAACAGAUUUCAAGAUCAUAUACUUAAGAAUUUGAGAACUAGAACUGAACAUCCACUCCUCACCAGAGUAAUACCUAAUAUUUUUGUUUUGAAGUUAUUAUUUUGAUUGAGGGUCAGGGAAAUUGGGUAAGGAAAAAGAGAACCUGAGAAAGGGCCCGAAGUGGAGGGUGCAUAAAUGAGGGAGAGGGAAGAAUUGGAGAAUGAAAGAGACUGAGGACCAUAACCCUUGCUCCACAAAUGUCCUACUGGAAUUAUUACACGGCUAUUGAAAUAGCACAGAAUUCACUGUUUUCUGUAAAUCUUGUCCUCUCAUCUUGACAUAGAUCCCCAGGAAGACAGAGUUCUUGCCAAAGGGUGAAGUCACUUAUUUAUUAUCCAUAGGAAUUUUCCAGGCGGACCAGAUUGCAUUCAAAGAUGAGUGAUUUGGGCACUGAAAUUGGCUGUCCACUCAGAGCCAAAGAGAUGCCCACCACUGGGGUUCCUCUCAAUGUGUUGUUAGGUGAGAGAUGAAAGGAGAAGACAAUUAUAGGGAGAAAACCCUCCAGAUACCUGCUCUCUGGAGUUAUGGUUAUCACGGAGUUUUUUCUGUGCUAAUUUCAUGCCCCACUUUGCCAUGUCCCUUCAGAUUCAAUUCAGCACUUCCCCAUGGUCCUCUUAUGGUCUCAAGAUUGAUGUAGCUUUUUUUUUUUUUUUUUAACAACCAGGAGUCAUUUGAGUAGGAAAGGACAUAGUGAUAACAUAGUCUAAUAUCAUCAAUUUCCAGGUGAGGAUUUGAAGCCAAUUUAUCUAAAGGAUUUGUCCAAGGUGACACAACUGGCUGGCAAUAGAGCCUAAUAAUAAGUUAGGUAUGUGGACACUUCCUUGUUUACAAAACUCUUUGAUUUCAGAUAGAUACAUACAUACAUAUUCUCAAAUAUUUGACCUGAAUCAAUCAUCUUAGCAGGUCCAUGAGGCAGAUAUGGCAUGAUUUCCUAUGCAUAGGCAGGAAAUCAAGGCAAUAAGGAAUAUGAUAAAACUAAUUCGUAUCAGAGUCAUGACUUAUUGUGAUUAAUGCCUUGGGCACUGUUAUCAGCCAAUCUGGGUGGAAUUCCAGGUUUCCACUUACUGGUUGAGCAAAUUAACCUCUCGAAGCCACAGCAUUAUCACCUAUUAAAUGGGGCUGAUCAUAGUUGCUACUUCACAGAGUAGCUUUUUAUAGAAUCAAAUUAGAUAAUGCUUAUAAAUCACUUAUCAGAAUGUGAAGUACACAGCAUGUCUUCUAUUAAGAAUAGGCUUAAUUUAUGUGUUCUGAAUUGGAAUUCCUUUCAACAUAUUAUGCUGCAUUAUUAAGCAUUCAUUAAGAAUAUCUAUUUAAGAUCAUUCCCACAAACUUGUUUGUCUUUUUUUGUUUAGAUGGAACUCAUCUACCUUGCCGUUACUAGGGAUACAGAGAUGUUUUUGGAAUGUCUCAUUCUUUGUUUCAUCUACUUCAGCUAUCAUUAAUUCUAGAGAGAGGAGUGGGUGGGGCAAUGAGUUAAUUAUUUAACUCUUGCUAAUAGGUUAGUAGUCAUAUAUCCCCUGGUAAGAACUGUAAUAAUUUAAUCUUUUAAAUUGAACAGGCCCUUAAGAUGGUUUUAAAAAUACAACCUCAAAGUGUAGAAUUUGGUGCCAUGGAUAAGCAAUGGAGGACAUCUUUAUGUCACUAAGAACCAUUUGUGCUCCACACAUGACACUUCAUGAGAUUCAAGAUGGAUUGUUGCUACACUGAGAAGAAUGUGGCAGACCACAAUAUGCCCAAAGGUUCUAUCUGUAAAAGGGGAAUAAUUCCUCAUCAACCAACUGCACGUGUUAAUAGAAAAGAAUCACUUCUAUGCAAUGUAACCGUAUGAAGUUGAAAGUAUUGUAUAAAUACUAAUAUAAUACGUAUGAAGAUUAGUACUUAAACUCUUUCCUGAAAAAAAUAUUUCUUCUUAAAUUUUCUUUAAGUUCUCUUGGUUGGACUCUGAGUUUCCAUGGUCCCUCAAGUCUGGUGUCUCUGCUGCUCCCUGGUCAAACUUAAGGCCUGGGAAUCUCUGAGAGGCUCAGAGCACUGGGACUUAGACCCUGUCGCCCACACUCACGAUGAAAGCCUUCAUUUCUGAGGUCUUAUAUGGUCUCUGGGAAGCUACCUUGGAGUAUGCUCCAGGCCACCUAUGCCCAGAAGUUGAUGACUUUGACUUCUUUCUAGUCUCUGAGAAUCUCCCCAACUCUUGACCUGAAAAGUGCCCCUUCUAUCUACCAUUCCUUUCUCCAAUUUUUUUUUCAUAAUUCACUUCACAAGGACACUCAAGGAGUAGGAUAGAGGGAAUAAGAUUAUUUGAGAAUAAAGCUAGAUUAUCUUUCUCCUUCUUCUCUCCUCUCAUCUCCUCUCUCUCUUUCUCUCUCUGACUUUUUCUCUCUUUCCAUUUCUCUUUUUUCUGUGUCCCUCCCUCUCACACCCUCUGCCUUUGGGAUGAAAUUAUAAAAGUAUUCAUUUAAAAAUUACUCUUAAUUUUCACAUCUAUAAUUUUAUACAUGAUUUUGUUUUAUUGUAAUCAAAACAUAAAUAAAUACCUAGUUAAAAAUAAAUAAAAGACAUUUUAAGAAUUGUAGAGGAAAGACCUAUUUGAGUGGCUUCCUAGGUCUUCUCAUUUAUCUACAUAUAAUAUCAAUCAGAACUUCUAAUCUCGAAACACUGUUUUACCUGCCUAGGUCUAAUCAUGGAAAAAGACCUUUUAAACUGAAUUCAAUGUUGCUGACACUGCAUUAGGCAGAUCACUUGGUGGUGGCAGCUAAACAUAAUGGCAUUAAGACAUGAGAAGCCAAGUUUUCACUUCUUCUCUCUACCUAGCUUUCUUGUAACCUAUAAAGGUCACUUGCAUAUUUUUACCCUUGUCUUCCUUAUGGAGGAAAUAAUAUUUGCUCAAAUAUUAUUCUUACUGAGAUAAAUAUGUUGCCUUCUUUACUACCCUCAUCAAGGCCUCUUUGAUCUCCUUGUUCCUCAGACUAUAGAUAAAAGGGUUUAACAUUGGGAUGAGGAUAACAUAGAACACUGACAGAACCUUGUUCUGCUUUUUGGAGUGGCUAGAGCUAGGAUGCAGGUACACAGAGAAGCCCAUGCCAUAGAAUAUUGUCACAACAGCCAGGUGGGAGGCACAGGUAUUGAAGGCCUUGGCACUACCUUUGAUAGAGGAUAUUUUCAGGAUGGAAGCUGCAAUGAAACCAUAGGAUAAGAGUAUAACAAGGAAAGAACCAAAUCCAACAAAAAAAGUUAUGAGAAAAAGAAUCAUUUGACUGAUGAAGGGAUUGGAACAAGACAAGGAUAUGAUGUGGGUUAUGUCACAGAAGAAAUUUGGAAUGAUAAUUGGGCCCACAGUAGUAGAGAUGAAA